GUGUGAUUAUCUCUUGCUCGUUGCUCUCAAGGGAAGGCCUCUGCGUUCAAGUGGUCUCUCUCUCCCUUGACACUGUUGGAGGAUGCUACCGAAGUUCUGCGAUUUGGACUUGGUCAUUGUGGCAGAAGAGAUUGACCAGAAAAUUAUUUGAUAAUACAGUCAAUGAAGAAGUCUGAAGGCAUGCAUUUUGGAAUAUGAUGAGAAGUGGGGCCAGUGGACGGAAAUACAUCUCUUUUGUGUUGGCAGUUUAUUCCCGGCGGCUUUUAGCAAGGAAAUAAAAUCCUACCAAAGAUAGGCAUUCACAGUAAACAUGAUAGAAUCAAUGAAAAAUGCACACAAGAUGGAUAAACAACCAGGGUGCAGAAGACAACAAACUGUGCAAAUACAAAAUGAAAAUGAAACAAGCAAAAUAAUAUUAAUAAAUGACCAAUAAAUAUUGAGAACUUGAUGAAGAGUCCUUGAAAGCGAGACCAUAGGUUGCGGCAACAAUUCAGUGUUGGGGUGAGAGAAGUUGAGUGAAGUUAUUCCCUCUGGUUCAAAAGCCUCUGGUUGAGGAGUAAUAACUGUUUCUGAGCCUGGUGGUGUGGGUACUGAGGUUCCUGUAUCUCCUUCAUUAUGCAGCAGCAAGAAAAGAGCACAGCUAAAAUGGUGGGGGUCCUUAAUGAUGGAUGUUACUUUCCUGUGACUGCACUUCUUGCAGAUGUGCUCAGUGAUAAGAAUGAGUGGACUUGACUGAAUCCACUAUUUUUUUUGUAGGCUUUUCCAUUCAAGGGCAUUGUUGUUUCCAAACAGGGCCAUGAAACAAGCAGUCAAAAUACUCUUCACUGUGCCUAUAUAGAAGUUUGUCAAAGCUAUAGAUGACAUGCUGAAUCUCUGUAAACUGGUAAGAAUUUAGAGGCGAUACCAUGCCUUCUUUGUAAUAGCACUUACUUGCUGG
This is a long non-coding RNA of Mobula hypostoma (lesser devil ray), 937 nucleotides long. RefSeq lists it as uncharacterized. NCBI's taxonomy places the organism in Eukaryota, Metazoa, Chordata, Chondrichthyes, Myliobatiformes, Myliobatidae. The transcript is spliced from 4 exons. The record is from RefSeq and is a predicted model, not a curated record.